AGAGUUUGAUCAUGGCUCAGGACGAACGCUGGCGGCGUGCCUAACACAUGCAAGUCGAGCGGAGACAGUGAGUAGCUUGCUAUGAGCUGUUUUAGCGGCGGACGGGUGAGUAACGCGUGAGCAACCUUUCCCAGACAGGGGAAUAACACACCGAAAGGUGUACUAAUACCGCAUAAGACCACGGGAUCACAUGGUUCUGGGUAAAGUAAUUAUUACGGUUUGGGGGUUUGGGGGUCGGUCGUCCGGUCCGGUACGUUAAGGUUAAGGUU
RNAcentral lists this ribosomal RNA (269 nucleotides) under uncultured bacterium. RNAcentral describes it as "partial 16S ribosomal RNA". It matches the Rfam family "Bacterial small subunit ribosomal RNA", at positions 8 to 265 of the family's 1533-position model. The record is from RNAcentral.